This 253-nucleotide ribosomal RNA is filed under the name uncultured bacterium. RNAcentral describes it as "partial 16S ribosomal RNA". It matches the Rfam family "Bacterial small subunit ribosomal RNA", at positions 524 to 776 of the family's 1533-position model. The record is from RNAcentral.
UACGUAGGGUCCGAGCGUUGUCCGGAAUUAUUGGGCGUAAAGGGCUCGUAGGCGGUUUGUCGCGUCGGGAGUGAAAACUCAGGGCUCAACCCUGAGCGUGCUUCCGAUACGGGCAGACUAGAGGUAUGCAGGGGAGAACGGAAUUCCUGGUGUAGCGGUGGAGUGCGCAGAUAUCAGGAGGAACACCGGUGGCGAAGGCGGUUCUCUGGGCAUGACCUGACGCUGAGGAGCGAAAGCAUGGGGAGCGAACAGG